RNAcentral lists this small nuclear RNA (81 nucleotides) under Cavia porcellus (domestic guinea pig). Lineage: Eukaryota; Metazoa; Chordata; Mammalia; Rodentia; Caviidae. The record is from RNAcentral.
UAAAUUGGAACAGUGCAGAGAAAAUUAGCAUGGCCCUUGCAUAAGGGUGACAUGCAAAUUCGUUAAGCAUUCCAUAUUAAA